This 771-nucleotide ribosomal RNA is filed under the name Triticum aestivum (bread wheat). RNAcentral describes it as "partial small subunit ribosomal RNA". Lineage: Eukaryota; Viridiplantae; Streptophyta; Magnoliopsida; Poales; Poaceae. The record is from RNAcentral.
AUGGCAAGGUACUGGUGGAGCAGCUCGAUUGAUCGCAAAUCUUUGCACUGGAUUGAUUGGCCCGCUCUAGCCAAACCCAAAGUUGCAGGAGGCAUGGGGUUUCGUGACUUGGAGGUGUUCAAUAUAGCUCUACUUGGAAAACAUGGCUGGAACUUGGUUGCGAACCCGGAGUCUCUCUGUGCUCGAGUACUGAAGGGGAAGUAUUUUCCAAACAAUGAGUUCAUGGAGGCUACCAUCCCUAAAUGUGCCUUGACUACCUGGCGUGCGAUCAUUGCUGGCCGGCAAGCUCUGCGUGCAGGUUUGAUCAAGCGGAUAGGAGACGGCACUUUGGUGUCUGUUUGGAACGACAGCUGGGUUCCCGGGCUGAUCUCCUUGAGACCUAGUGUCCACAUAGGAAACACUAAUAUCAAUGCAGUUUCUGAACUUCUUGAUGUGGACCGAGGCAUGUGGAAUGUUGAAAUGGUGAGAGAACAUUCUAUUGCUUCGGAAGCAGAUGUCAUUCUUAAUAUCCCCUUGAGGAUUGGAGGUGGACUGGAUUCAUGGGCAUGGAAUGCAGAAAAGUCAGGCGUCUACUCUGUUAAAACAGCGUACCGAUCUCUAAUGACUCAGAACGAGCAUACUGCUCUACAAGAAGGGACAGUUACGGAAUCCUCAGAGAAACAAAAACAGUUGUGGAUUAGACUUUGGAAGCUCAAAGUUGUGCCAAAGGUGCAAGUGUUUUGGUGGCGAGUACUCCGAGGAAUUCUUCCUACUGAGCACUUUGAAGCAUAG